GACGAACGCUGGCGGCGUGCUUAACACAUGCAAGUCACGGGGGGGUCGCAAGACUCAACCGGCGAACGGGUGCGUAACACGUGAGCAACCUGCCGAUCUGAGGGGGAUAGCCGGCCCAACGGGCCGGGUAAUACCGCAUACGGUUUCUACGGGACAUCCUGUGGGAACGAAACCUCCGGGGCAGAUCGGAGGGGCUCGCGGCCUAUCAGCUAGUUGGUGUGGGUAACGGCCCACCAAGGCGACGACGGGUAGCUGGCUGAGAGGAUGCCAGCCACAUUGGGACUGAGAGACGGCCCAGACUCCUACGGGAGGCAGCAGUGGGGAAUCUUGCGCAAUGGCCGAAAGGACUGACGCAGCGACGCCGCGUGUGGGAUGAAG
Molecule: ribosomal RNA, 378 nt
Filed under: uncultured bacterium
Lineage: Bacteria
Description: bacterial SSU rRNA
Rfam family: Bacterial small subunit ribosomal RNA
Source: RNAcentral